Molecule: long non-coding RNA, 1179 nt
Filed under: Sinocyclocheilus grahami
Lineage: Eukaryota; Metazoa; Chordata; Actinopteri; Cypriniformes; Cyprinidae
Description: lncRNA (ENSSGRG00000012385.1)
Source: RNAcentral
AGAAAAUCCUUCUUGAUUUAAGAAUUUUUUGAUAUUUUGGCUGGAAACAAGACAAAAAAUCUAAGUAGGAAAAGCAUUUUUUGCAGUGAAGUGACAGUUUUCAACCAAAAUUGAUUUUACAGACAUUUAAGGAUGGCAGACGUAUUCAGAUACUUUUUGGGAGCACUAUAUACUGACAGUAUUAAUGAUGCACCAUUUUUCACUGAGCCUCGUUUGCGGUCAAGUAACAUUUUUUUUUUUCUGUUUCUUGUUAGGAAUCAACAGCCAACUUUCCUUUCCCUUCUCCUCCUCCACUCAUCCCAAAGGCAUCACAGCCCCAACUCAGUGGGAUCAAUCCUUUUUCUAGGAGCGCUGGACAAAAAUUGUCUGGGACAAUGAGUCCGAAUCAAGGGUCCAUUUCACAGGUAGAAAUCCUUAUAAAUGCCUAUAUUUAUCAUAACUGUCAUGCAAAUAUUCAGGUUAAUUGUUUUGUUCAUAGGGUCCCUAAUGAAGGUUCGUAAUUGAGGAAUAAUCAUCAAAUGAGGAACUCUGGGAUGGACUUUCAGCCUCGUGACUAGUGUUCACAUGACCAAGGGAUUCCAUAGGCACACCCCUUCAGUUCCACUAGAGGAGGUCAGAGGGGCCUAUGCAUCUUUAUAUACAGUAACACCUGUGGUUACAGAAAUACACUGAGGACAUAGAGUUCUUGAUAUAAUCUGUUAAGGGUUUGGUGCCCAGUCUUCUUUGAAUGAAGACACUGAACAGCUGAGGCACAGCUCCCCGUGCUGACUCUAGGGAUUUGUGUCAUUCCCUUUGGGAACGGGGACCAGAUGGAAAUGGGUGCUGAGCAAAGGUGCUGUGACCUAUGGAAACAUUAAUUUAAGACGUCUCCUCAGCUGGCAAUGUCAGUAAAUUGUAUAACAUGUAACACUUCCAUCCCUCAUCCCACCCCCCCACAUGCAAAAUUAUUGUAAUAAUUUAAGUGGCUUUCACAAUUCAAAUGUUUAAGAUAUGGCGCCGGAGAGUAGUGAAAAUGUGGGAAAUGUUGUAAUUGUACAGGUGGUCCCUUUGGGUCACAGCCUUGAUUUAUUCCAGAGGAAGAGAUAUUGAAUUAAACAUGUUUUAUUCAAUAUCUCUACCAAAAAAAAAAAACUUUUUGUUGUAAAAAAAAAAUCUAAUAAAAAGCAAUAGUAUUUGUAC